UGGGAUUUGAACUCAGGACCAUUAGAAGAACAGUCGGGUGCUCUUACCCGCUGAGCCAUCUCUCCAGCCCCUGGCUCAAAUUCUUUACCCUGUUGCUAUUGAUGUAUGAAGGUUGUGCAGAACUGGCCCGACCUCUCACCUGCUCUUUCUGGAAGAGCUGGCCCUGAAGAGAGCCUCAGAGCUGACCCCAACCCUGCACAACUGCAGUACUAUGAACAGCAGGUCCCACUAUCACUCAGGGAGCACAGUAGAGCUGGCCCUGGUUGCAGAAGUUGCAGAUGAGCCAGCGCCACUGGUGUGAGCAUGGGAGGGCUGGCCCUGCCACCUGUCUCCUGGGAAGUGGCACGGAUGAGGGAGAAGGGAGAGAUGCUCUCCCCCUAACCCCCCUUGCCACCUACCACAGGCGAAGAGCUGGUCCCAAGGCUGUCAGAGUGGGAGAACUAGACCUGCCCCUCACCUGCUGCAGCACAGUAGAGCUGGCAGAAACAUGCGUGAGCUGGCACUGCGGGCAUGAGCGUGGGAGAGCUGGUCCCAGCAACUUGUCUGCUGUUUGAGGCAGAGAUGAUGAUGAUGGCAGGGCCUCAUCAUGGCCCUGAUGGAGGAGAGAUGCCCCCUUCUCCCAUCCCUCCUCGUCCCUAGUCACCUAUGACAGGUAGGAAAACUGGACCUGUCCCUCACCAGGAACAGCACUCAGGAGAGUAGGCCUACAACUUGUCUGGGCAGCACAGUAGCCAUGGUCCUGAUGGCAUGAGCACCAGCGGUGAGCCACCCGGUAGGCAUGAGACCAUGAGAACCUGAGAGCUGGCUGUGGCAUUGGACAACCUAGCCAGGCAGCGCUGGAGACCCUGCCCUGGUAGUGUGGGAGCAGAAAAGCUGGCAGGCUGACCAGCCCGGACACCUCUCAGGCCCAGAUGCAGGGCUUUGAGUUGGCCCACCCCAACAUCUACCCCAUUGAUGAACAGCUGGAGGGCAUGGGCCAGUCCUACAGAUCUAAAACUACAGGAUCUCCAUAACACCGGCAACGACAGGAUAUCCAGGAGGAAUCUCAGUGAAGUCCCAGGAAUGAUAGAGUAGCAGAAGUCAGCCUCUAAGGUUCCUCCCAGGAAGUCUCAGGAGAUGUGGACACAGCUGCAGGAUACUGCCUGGACUGUGAUGUGAUCACCACUGAAACACGCAGUGGACAGCACUCGAUACUCUGAGUCACGUGACCUAGCUAAAACCAAGCAUCUUGUCAAGUCCAGGUGCUUACUACACCCAGGACAGCUCCAGAGAAGCAACCUUCAUAUGCUCCAAUCUCCUCUCAUAGACACACAUUCCUACUGGACCUGUCCCUUCUGACCUAUCCUCAGAUGGCUCCACAGACCCUGGACAGCAAAGAGGCAGCCAACUCUCCUAAGACUGGAUAAACAUCCCCCAUAACUGAAAGAUCCUGACAGAAUGCAAAAGGUCACAGAAGCCCUGAAAUUGGCAAAAUAGAUUUCAUGGCUAGCAGAACUAGCUUCACUGAUUUAGAAAAAUAGAGGUGCACAAUGCUCUGGCCGCUCCUUGAACCCGUGUGUCUGCCAAUGUUCUGGCCGCUCCUUGAACCCGUGUGUCUGCCAAUGUUCUGACCGUUCCUUGAACCCAGGUGUGUGCCUACUGCUGCACCUCACUGCCAGGUGUUUGUGAUAUUGGUUGCUGGGACAGAGUCGGAAAAUCUCCCCAGCAACCACAGCCCGGCCAAUCCUGAAUUGCUGCACCUGCUCCAGACUCUUUCCUUGUACCCCUCCCAUACCCAUUUCUUGAGAAUAGACAUUGUUUAGAUCUGGAAAUCCCCUACUCCCCCCUUCUCCUUUCCCCCCUGAGGACCUAUACUGGAACCCCUUUCCCCUCGGGGUUGACUCCUCCUCUACCCCUGUGUGGGAUAUGAGUCGUCCCCAGAGCUCUGGCUUUCCCGAAUAAAGCCUCAUGUGGUUUG
Molecule: long non-coding RNA, 1957 nt
Organism: Mus musculus (house mouse)
Lineage: Eukaryota; Metazoa; Chordata; Mammalia; Rodentia; Muridae
Product: predicted gene, 53373
Exons: 3
Source: RefSeq, a predicted model, not a curated record